RNAcentral lists this ribosomal RNA (490 nucleotides) under uncultured bacterium. RNAcentral's name for it is "partial 16S ribosomal RNA". It matches the Rfam family "Bacterial small subunit ribosomal RNA", at positions 30 to 507 of the family's 1533-position model. The record is from RNAcentral.
AUUGAACGCUGGCGGCAGGCCUAACACAUGCAAGUCGAACGGUAACAGGAAGAAGCUUGCUUCUUUGCUGACGAGUGGCGGACGGGUGAGUAAUGUCUGGGAAACUGCCUGAUGGAGGGGGAUAACUACUGGAAACGGUAGCUAAUACCGCAUAACGUCGCAAGACCAAAGAGGGGGACCUUCGGGCCUCUUGCCAUCGGAUGUGCCCAGAUGGGAUUAGCUAGUAGGUGGGGUAACGGCUCACCUAGGCGACGAUCCCUAGCUGGUCUGAGAGGAUGACCAGCCACACUGGAACUGAGACACGGUCCAGACUCCUACGGGAGGCAGCAGUGGGGAAUAUUGCACAAUGGGCGCAAGCCUGAUGCGGCCAUGCCGCGUGUAUGAAGAAGGCCUUCGGGUUGUAAAGUACUUUCAGCGGGGAGGAAGGGAGUAAAGUUAAUACCUUGGCUCAUUGACGUUACCCGCAGAAGAAGCACCGGCUAACUCCGUG